This 254-nucleotide ribosomal RNA is filed under the name uncultured bacterium. RNAcentral describes it as "partial 16S ribosomal RNA". It matches the Rfam family "Bacterial small subunit ribosomal RNA", at positions 524 to 776 of the family's 1533-position model. The record is from RNAcentral.
UACAGAGGUCACAAGCGUUAUCCGGAUUUAUUGGGCGUAAAGCGUUUCGUAGGUGGGUUUAUAAGUUAUUUUUCAAAUCCCAAGGCUCAACCUUGGAAAGGGAGAUAAUACUGUAAGUCUUGAUUUUUGGUGGGGUAUCUGGAACUGAUAGUGUAGUAGUGAAAUACGUUGAUAUUAUCAGGAACUCCAAGGGCGAAGGCAGGAUACUAACCAAUUAAUGACACUGAGGAACGACAGCUAGGGGAGCGAAAGGG